UGCCAGACUCCUACGGGAGGCAGCAGUGGGGAAUAUUGCACAAUGGGGGAAACCCUGAUGCAGCGACGCCGCGUGAGCGAUGAAGUAUUUCGGUAUGUAAAGCUCUAUCAGCAGGGAAGAAAAUGACGGUACCUGACUAAGAAGCCCCGGCUAACUACGUGCCAGCAGCCGCGGUAAUACGUAGGGGGCAAGCGUUAUCCGGAUUUACUGGGUGUAAAGGGAGCGUAGACGGCAAUGCAAGCCAGAUGUGAAAGCCCGGGGCUCAACCCCGGGACUGCAUUUGGAACUGUGUAGCUGGAGUGUCGGAGAGGCAGGCGGAAUUCCUAGUGUAGCGGUGAAAUGCGUAGAUAUUAGGAGGAACACCAGUGGCGAAGGCGGCCUGCUGGACGAUGACUGACGUUGAGGCUCGAAAGCGUGGGGAGCAAACAGGAUUAGAUACCCUUGUACA
This 448-nucleotide ribosomal RNA is filed under the name uncultured bacterium. RNAcentral describes it as "bacterial SSU rRNA". It matches the Rfam family "Bacterial small subunit ribosomal RNA", at positions 329 to 794 of the family's 1533-position model. The record is from RNAcentral.